This is a non-coding RNA of Podarcis lilfordi (Lilford's wall lizard), 74 nucleotides long. The record is from the annotation of a GenBank genome assembly. Lineage: Eukaryota; Metazoa; Chordata; Lepidosauria; Squamata; Lacertidae.
ACCUGGGAUAGCUCAGUCGGUACAGCGUGAGACUCUUAAUCUCAAAGUCAUGGGAUCAAGCACUGCGUUGGGCA